Molecule: non-coding RNA, 25208 nt
Organism: Xyrichtys novacula (pearly razorfish)
Lineage: Eukaryota; Metazoa; Chordata; Actinopteri; Labriformes; Labridae
Source: the annotation of a GenBank genome assembly
GUCCGAAUUGCCAAGUAGUAGUCGAAGUAGUAGUCGAAGUAGUAUCUAGCAUGUCCGAAUUGGCCACCGGAGCGAGUAGCAUGCUACUUCAGAUACUACUUCAGAUGCUAGACACGCCCACAUUGUAGGUUGGUCUCGGUGCAUCCUACGGGCAUGCUACUGACCCAAAAUGCACCGCGGGCUUCUUCUUCGUCCUCUUAAAAGUUGUAGAAGCGCAUGUGAUGCUAGCGCCACCAGCUGCUGCCUAUUUAGAUGCGUCGCGAACGCCGGCUGGCCACAGCAGCGCGCACCAUGUCGGAGCAGCAGCAGCAGCAGGCGGGACCGCAGUAGUACAGAUGUAAGUUUCAUGUAACUUCACACACUGUCCUAAAAAAUGUGCGGUUGUAUCUCUUUGUCAUGUCAUGGUGUCAUAUUUGCCCAAGUAAUCAUUUUAUGAGCAAAUAUGUGGCGACAUCAUGGAGGUAAAGCUCACUUAUUCCAUCAUUAAACUGCACAGCUGCAGUACUACAGCCAGGCCCGCAGAUGAGGGGCUUCAGUUACCACUGUCUGCACGGGCGCAGUACCUACUCUCUGCCUGCGGGGGUCGUCUUUCCCCACCGCUCGUCUAGUGUGUCCGAAUUGGGCCAACGUGUUUAGUAUGUAGGAGUAGGAUCUAGCAGGAUCAGGGUUAAACAGAAACUAGUGGAGUAAACCGAUUAUUGAUUAUGGUGAUGUGUUUUACAUGAACGCCUCUGUUCAAUGCCUCCACAUGCUGGAUAGUGUAUCAUGGUUCUCUGGAGCUCUAACUCACCAUUGUGUCUUACUCAGUAAAGUAAACUGGCCGUCUUUACAUGUGCGCCGGCUCGGCCUUUGGUUCGUGUCGAUUUAUAAGACUAUUCCUCAGAUGACUCCAUCUUGUUUAUCACCCAUUUUAAUCUUGAAUAAUAGGACCUACAGUCUCCGCCCCCAGGACUUUUAUUAUUUUACUGUUUCUAAAGUUCAGAGCAGAAAUGAGGAAGAAAGUUUUUAGAUUUUCUAGAAAAAUGAUCACGAUAUAUUUUGUCACAUCGUCCGAUCUCGAUUAUUAUCACAAUUUUUUUUUAACUGCCAGUUUUAAAGCAUCUGUUUUAAAAACUGAAGAAACUAGAGAUUAGUUCAACAUUUUAUUUACAUACAAAAUAAAUAACAAAUCAAAUUAAAUAGAUACACUUAAAAAUAUAUAAAAUACAUGUUAUAAUAACAUCUUCGGAGAAUGACUCAAAGUCAGGGCUGACAUCUGUUUGCUGCCCUCAGCUCCAUGUUUAGCUCCACUUUCGGUCAUUCUUACUUCCUGUUUACUUCUCCAGCAAAUUACAGAAGCGAGCAGGAAAAGCUCGACUCUGAUUGGCUGCUGUCACGCACAUUUCUGCUGUGUUUGCUCACAGCUGAUCACCGUGAUCGAACUGAAAUUUAUCACGAUCAUAUAAUCGCCCAGUCCUACCCCUGACUGUAUUCAAAUCCAUGAUAAACUCCAUUACAUCCAGGCGUCAGGAGUGCAAAUGUUUUAUUUUAAUGUGCUAAUGUUUGAGGAAUCUUGUAUUCUUUGUUUUCUAUAUAAUUAAUGUGAUUAUGUAUUAAAACUGUCGAUGGGACAAACCUGGUUAAAUAAAGUUAAUAAUCAUAAAAACAGGCCGCUCUUCCAAGUCGAGUCAUCUUCAUAAACGCCGUUCAUCAUCAGAGGUUACGAUAUUAGCAGUUUGUGCAGAUGAGUUUCUCCAUUCCAGGGUCGUAUCUGCAGGAUUUACGUGUUUUUAUUUGGUGUACUGAGACUCGGCUUUCGGAAACACGCGGUGGUUUACCGUGAUGAGUCAAGGUUUCUCCUCUCUGAAAAACAUCUGAUUCAUUGCAGCAUUUUUCCAACCUAGAUACAAGACUGAGAGCCAGGUGAGGGAAUAACGGAUGAAUACUCUAUGAGCUCAAAUGGACCGAAUCAGGAAAUCCAUUACAGUUCGCUUUACUUCCAUGGUGACAGAUCAGGAAAUUCAUCGUCUCAGGAGCCGCUUACAUCCUGCUGGUCUUCAUAUCAGUCGACCUACUUCCUUUAGUUCGCACUUAUCUGUUUCAAAGAGGGAUUUUCUUUCCCUGUUUCACUGCAGCGAGCGCUAAAACAAACACUUCCAACUUCAUCUAAAGUGAGAGGAAGUUGAUAUAUUUUAUUUUUUUUGCUGUUGAAAAUAUCCGGUCAAGUCUCUGGUGAGUCAUAAAGGACGGGUCGCCCCGUUCACCUCGUUGGCCAGGCUCAGAGCGAGGUUACGUAAGCUCCCACUUCAAAUGAAUCAAGCUGAAAGCAUGAGAGGAGGAGGAGGAGGACGACGACGACGGGCCUUCAGGGGAAGGAAUCCUUCAGGAGGAACAGUUUCCAGAGGAGCUGGCUGUGGUCCAGUCAGUUUAUAAAACACUUGAAGAAGAAGAGGGAGGUGAUGGUGACCCUUCAUUUAUUCCCUCAUCAUACCUCUAAGUAAGUUAAAGUUGUCCGUCGUACAGAUUUAUACCUCCUCUUCUUCAAACGGACUUUUAGCAGGUCGUUGGAUUCAGAAGUUUCAGACUGUAAAACGUUGAACAAACUCGCUCCUGCUGUGCAUCGCUGCAGGUUAUCUUAACCCGAGUACAGAGAGCCAGUGGCUCAGGGAAAAUCAUCUCAGACUUUACGAAGAGCUUAGUUUGACCUGCGUGGCCGCUCCGCUCCGCUCCGUUUGUGGGGGAUAUCGCUUACAGGUAAUGAAUGCUCCCCCUAUCUCCCAAAACCUCCACAUAAACCCUCGCCUCCUUUCCCACAGGGAUUACUAUGUCUCUGUGUGUCCGUGUUGGUGUGUACUUUCGCCCGUGUGUACGUGGGGGAGGAGAGCUGAUCUACACGUGUAUCUGUCGGCUAAACGGCGAACAGAAUGGCUGAAUUAUCUCCAGGUUACAGCGAAGGUGAAUCACGAGAGACCGAUGGGGUUAAAGUUUCCAAACUAACGUCACUCCAAACAAUAAACCGAUCAGACCCUGGCUCUUCUCCCUUCUCAGUUUCUUACUUUAUUCGCCACCCAAUCGGAUCAAUAAAAGCCUCAAAGUAAUCUCGGUUAAAAACUAGAGGAACAAAGAGAUGCCGGUUUGGCGGUGUGGUUAAAUCCCACGCCUCAUUUACAGAGGCGAUCGUCCUCGAAGCAGACGGCUCAUCCAUCAGACCCACAGCUCUUCGCCACACAUCAUUCGCCGCUCUCCCUUUUCUGUUUUUUGCUCGAUCCAUCACCCUGUCUGAUCAAUAAAGGCAGAAAAAAGCUGAAAAAUAAUCUCGCUUUAAAAAGAAUCUAGAUUUUUUAGGUUAUCAAGACUUUCCUCUCCCUUAUUUGUGUGUUUUCUGCUGUUGUAUAAUCAAAAAAGUCUCGAAAACUAAAGGGAAACUUAUUUUAAAGGCUGGGAAUCCAAAAGAUUACUCACUAAAACAUCACACCAUGAUUUAAUAAAGUUUUUCCUUGUCUUUUUGAGUAGCUAUGACGACAAAACUCUAGAGAUGCUGAAACAAAACCUCUGUUAAGUGGAGGCGAACAUCCACAGUCUCUCUAACGUGUGUUUUCUGUAUCAGACUGAACUCGGCGAGUGAAGAAACACACCGACAGUAAAUCAUCAUCACCUGAAAGCGCCCACACUGAGAGAUCCCGGCUGUCACCUCUGCUCACCUUCAUCCAGAGAAACAGAAACUCGAACGCACGCACGCAGUCGCUCUCUCUUCACAUUUAAAAUCCAAAUAAACCGUUUUUAGGAGACCUGAGGGGGCUCACGCUCGCCUACGAGGUUCUCGGGUUUCGGGGACGCGUGGGAGCUCUCACUCCAUCAGAUGAGAAACGGACUUCCUGAUGACAUCCGCAGAGAGUCGCCUCCUCUGCUCGAGUUUGAUGGACAAAACAUCCCGUCGAUGCAGUAAAUCAGAACUUUCAAAAUAUGACUUCACAGUUACCCCACCGACUGAUGAGACAGAUUAGUGAUUUAGAUGAUGUGAAAAAUGUCAUAAAAGUGAGUUGAAGGAGUAUGAUAUGAAAAAAGUUGCUAGAAUCAUCGUUAGACUCUGAAAGUCCCUGUGAUGUUGAAAACACGUUGAAAAGAUUCUUCACCAGACGUCUAAUAAACGUCCAGAUUCAGACCGUCUAAAUAAAGCCUCGUUUUCAACGUCUUCUUUUGGGACCAUGACGAGCCAACGGGAUUUAGCCUGAAAAAAGACGUCUAAAGGUCCUUAAACACCGGGGCCGACGCAAAUAUAGAACGCGAAAUCACGAAAUAUUCAGAAGCGAAUUUUGACGCGCCUGACUGUACACAUCACGCCCGAUGCGUUUUGCGAUUUUCCGGGGGGGAAAAGACAAGUCCCGCCUCCUUCACCUCUGAUUGGCUAGAAAGCUGGGAAUGUCAUCACACGCUCAAGCCAAACGGUCAGCACUUACAGCCAAUCAUAGGUGAAGGAGGGCGGGACCUUUCCUUACCAUCCUACCGCGUCCUGGGUGGAAGCGAGAAGACAAAAUUGGAGUCUCCUUCAACUUCAAGUGAUGGCGAAUUGGUACUUCUUUAGCUUUCUCAAAAGAAGAAGAAAUGUAGCACAUAGGUGCAUCCAAUAUUACAAAAAAGACGAGAAACUGGACCACGGUCGCUUCAGAACCUGUUUUUGGAUGUCUGUUGGACAAUUUGAAGUUCUGCUGAAACAAUUAACUCCAAGUUUGAAGAGGCAGAGGACUAGACACUAGACACUAGUGUUGAGAUGUCUGUCUGUCAUGAUAGCAUGUACUGAGUCAGGGUCAGUACCAGAUAAACACAUGAAACUAUGGUAACAACAGUUAGCUUAGGUUAGCACAGAUGAAAGUUAAAACAAAGACGUUUAUCAAACUGUUAAAGCUCACAAACCAUAGAAAUAUGAGCGAUCUGACGCUAUGACUCUCCACAAGUCAUCCUUCAGGUCUUUAUCUUUGUAAUGUUUGUGUAAAUGAUCAUGAACAAUCAGCCGGUCGGCCAUGUUGGAUAUACCGGUGAAUCAGGCGUCGCAACAACACGCAAUCUGAUUGGUCAGAAGUGGACACACAGUAUGCAAAACUUUAGAAAAAUCUACCGUGAUCCGAAAAAAUAAAUGCCGCAAUAUCGCAGGACGGGAAAAUGUCGCUGAUGUGAACGCUUGACAGGAUACGGGUUCGAAAAAAAAUAUUGACGCCCGAAAAAGGACCUUAAAUGACGUCAGGUGUUUGGUGGGUAAGAAGAGAUCUUCGAAAGAGGCCUUCAACCUCUCUUUGGAUAUUCUUGUAAAGCAGAAUAAUUGUUGCAGGUCAUUCAAACCAGAUGUAGUGAGUGUAACUUUGCAAAAUGUUUAAUUUCAAAGUGGCUCUAAAAAUAAAUAAAGAACACAGUGAGAUUUAUUUUCUAAAUGAGUGAGAAAAGCUGCAAAUUUGAGUCAAACUUGAAAAUCAAUUUAAAGUUUCAAGUAAUUUUAACUGAAAAAAAAUCUGUGAACUUGACACAAAAAAAUAUGAUUUUAUAGGCAGUGGUUUUUUCCCUCUGUGCACUAAGUCUGUUAUAUCUGUAGGUAAAGUUCAUAUCAGUUUGUGAAAGAUUUAAGGGGUUUUAUUUAUGACCUUGAAAACUGCAGAGCUUCAUUUCUGCCCGGGUCAGCAGGAAGGUUACUGCCCCGUGGGAUGAAGGUAGAAGAAAACAAACACGACCCUGAGGUGGAGAGAUCCCUCCAGAGUCAGAGUGUAAAUAUGACUGAGGAUAAAACAGGUUUUUUAAAGCAAAUGCACAUGUAGUCAGUGUUCAGGUCAUGACAGAAGCCUGCAGUCUGAUUAUUGUGUGAAUCUUUUAUUUCUAAAUGUUGAUUUACUGUUCCCUCCUUCAGUUUAUCAACGAGGACAAAUGUACAAAUAUUUUAUCAGUGACUAAAGUAAUCACAUAAAGCAGAGCAGCAGUUCCCUUUAUGGAGACUAGUUCAUCUCCUCUCAGUGUGUAUUAUUGGAUUGUUCUUGACGUUGUACAGUAAAGCUGCAGACCCGCCCUGCAUAAAAAUAUCCCAUAAAUGACAUGAUUGAUGGUUUAUUUGGCGUUUAGAGGAAAGUUUCAUUGUCAUGGCUCUCAAAGUCCCCCUCCAGCUCCCGAGGAGCAGCACUGAGAGGAAACAUUAGUGGACCAGGAUAUUGGCCUGGAGGGCAGGAGGAUGUUCCUCAGCCUGGCCCCUCUCUGUGGAUCUUGGCGUUUUAAAUGGAAGGUUUGUCUUCCUCGGGCCUCCGUAAGGAAGCAGCUGUCAGAGAGACCAGCUCGCUCUCUUUUAGAGAGUUCGGUUCCUGAAAUACCCCAAAUAUCAGAUCUCUCAAAGGUUUGUGAUCUUCAGCCGCGAUAAGAAGCUUUAAGAGUUUGUUGUCCGGUGUAAGCGACGCACUGACUCGACAACUUUAUGAAUGUGUGUUUGUUUUAGCGCGCUAAAGUCGAGCUUUUUACCUUUCACGUUGGCUGUUUAAAUUUAAUACAGAAGAGCUCGGCAGAGUCUUUCACCAAAGGUACGCCAUACAAUAAAAAAUCGCCAGACUGGUCGGACAUUAUAUUUGCAUUUGUUUACAAAUCUGAGUUUAAAAAUAAAAGGAAAAUGAACAAAUGAGUCAGUUUGGUUAUUUUUAGGACAUUAAUUGGAUUUAAAGGGGAAAAACAUACCGUCUGUUAUCGUGAUAUGAAAUUACUCACCGCCUUACACUAGAUGCAACAGUAAAUUCUAGUGUAUUUAAUGGCCCCCCUGCAUAUGUUGGGUCGGGCCACCCUAGUCAAAAAAGUCUAGACACGCCCCUGCUUGUCGGCCCAAACUUCAUGUUAUUUCGCUCUACAAACGAUGAAUUAAUCCAUGCUGAGAGGAGGCUACAGAGAAAGACAAGGACUCUACUUUUACUCAGGUAGACUGACGCAUUUAUCACGAAGUUGAACGUCAUGCAGAUUUGAUGUCCAGAAAGACUUUUCUGGCCUGACCGUCACGUUCUUGUCUUUGUGCAGAACAAAUUUAAAACCUUAUAGAUGCUUUCAGCUGAGCCACCCUGCUGCUUCAGGAGCCAAAGUGAGCGAGGUCAGAGAGCGUCUCAGCAGUGAAAUGUAGACAGAUGAAGCACACUGAGUGAUUCAGUGUCGAACCUGCUGUGGUACACGUGCUGUAAUUAUUUCCUUUCUCUGCUUUAUCCCUUGAGAAAGUGUUUUGUAACCGUAAAUGUGCCGUUUUCCCAUAAUUGCACCACUUAGAGCAACAGCUGAUGCAAACUGUGAACAUCACAGGAGUGAACUAUUUCAGUGUGCAGUCUGAGAUUAAUGAGGAAAGAGGCAUCAAACAAGCUUCCUCUCUCACUAAAUCUUCACAUCCGUCUCUCUCUCUCUCUCUCUCUCUAUUCUCACACUUUUCUUCAACAUCCUCUCAAAGGGAGAAAAACAUCAACAAGUAGAUCAGGAAUGGAAGGUUUUCAUUACUUUAAAUUUGGCUCCAGGUUUGAAUUUGGUUCUUAUCACUUUUGCAACAAAACAGAAACUUUUUUUUAACCAAAAAUGGAAAUAUUCAGCCUCAUAUCCUGUCCUUAAAGACAGAGUUAAUCCAGAGCAGCGGUCUCAGUUUAUCACACAUGAUUCACCCUCGAAUAUAAACAUUAACAUCCUUAAGAAGCCAGGACCUGGGCUUACAGGGCUGCAGGGGGGGUUUGAGUAAGAACAAUGGAGUCCAGACCCAGUGACACAAUCCUCCCGUCAACUUUGGACACUAACUUGUGGAGUGUUGCCACGGAAAUAAAGUCAAUUUACACUCUAUAUGCCAAAAACGAGAGGGAUGGAUUAAGGUCAAGUCCCCUGUAGACAGAAAAACUUGAAACUACAACUAGGUAUAAUAUUUCAAAGAUGAUUUCAUUUUUAAAAACAGAAAUAACAGACAAAUAUUGCAUCACUUCACGGCUAACCUGCAUUUUUAACACUGCAGCAGGUGGAAACAUCUUAAAAAAACAUCUGCAGCCUGACCAUCCAAAAGAUAUCACUUUUUUAAAGCUAAAGCAGACUGAAACAAGGCAAAGAAAGAGUCAAAAAUAUGAUGAAAAGGGGGUUUUAACAGAGCUUAAUGCCAUAAAAAUAUUUAAAGAUUAAUAAAAGAAAAUCAACUCAUGAAAAUGUAUCAUAUAUUUCUAGAAAGUGCUCUCUGCUGGUGGGUUUUCUUCUUCUCAGAGUGUCUGAGAUGUUUCUGUAGGAGGUAAACUUCAAAUGAACCCAGGCUCUCGUUGGCUCAGACAUUUAAACUCCCACUGAAACACAGAGCCGAGAGACGACGGCCAAAUCUACGUCGCAGAGAGCUUCAUGUGUUUUAGGAGCCAAACUAAACUGAGGCGGAGUCACAAAGCAGCGAGUUCUCGAUAUUCUGAGGCUUCCAGUCGGCGUGUAACUCACCUGUGCAUCUGUUUUUUAAUAUUGUGCAUCCUAUCACUGAGAACAUGAGAGUGAAUUCAACUUCUGCUCUUUUCUAAAUGACCUAAAAUAAUGCUGAUUGUUUGGCUGACAUUUCUAAACACUUCUCGUACUGCGGAGUUCUGGUCUUGUGUUUGGGGCGCGGCAUCAAAGCGGCUGUUGUUACCAGAGCGUGAAAAAAAAAAGGCUUUUCUAACAACUAAUCACAUGUCAGAUAAGGUCAGUGGAAGAUAACGGUCACAUCGUGUCCGAACUCAGUUUCUCAAACAGUUUGCCAGAAGAAAAGUGAAGCAAAGCCGCUCACAGGAAGUCCUUUGGUGAGGGGCUUUCCAGCGUUGCUAUGACACUCAUGACCACAAAUAAACUUUGACCCCUGAGCAGAGAGUGUGUUGGUGUGAUGGAGGAAAUUACAUUUUAACUUGACUGCCGUCCAAAAUGCUGACAGGCCAAAGGAGAUCUCAGGGCUUACGAAGUGUUAUCCCUCUAUUGUGUGUUUGUGUUAGUGUUAGUGUGCGCUAACUUUGUAUAUAAAACACUUUGUUGUUGGCGUGCAUGUGUAGCUUUGUCCUCCCCGCCCUGCUGAAUUAGUGUUUAUCCCCUGACCGGGUGUGAAGUGAAGCAAUCUUUUGGGGGUCUGCCCAUGUGAAUCUGGGUCCUCAGAGGGAAAGUUAAUGAGUUUUCAGGAUGGCUAACCAGCACAGCGCUGAAACUCUCUGACCCUGUUCUGAGAUCAGAAUCAGGUUUUUAAGAUUUGAUCAUCAGAACCAUCAUGGGAAGACUUUGACAUCUUUACUACACAGAGACUCCUGUAAAGAAAAUUUUACCUGCAGCAUCUGAAAACUAACCCUCGAUGUUUCCAAAGAUUGAAUUAGGGCUGGGCGAUAUGGCCUCAAAUCAAUAUCAUGAUAUAUUGAUCAGUUCACCUCGAUAACAAUAAAUAGACGAUAACUACUCCACAAGCUGCUCACCCCCUCCCACAUAAACUUCGUCUACUUCAGCUGCUCCAACUUUCUCUCCGUCCUCCAUCUCCUCUCCUGUCUUUCCCUCUUUGUUACAGACUGGAUGGGGUGGAGUCACAUCUCUGAUGUAGAACAGCGUCUUAAAGGGACAUGAGACCAUAGCCUACCUACACACAUCCAAAAACAACUUUGAUUGAUUUAUUUAUUUGACACCGAAUAUAUUGACAUGGGCAAAAUGACGUCAGUUAUUGUCGGAAAUUUUGGUGUCUGUAAAAUUUUGGUUUAUUGCCCAGCCCUAGGUCGAAGUUUUGCCAACUUUACUUAAUGUCUAACCCGGGAUAUUUAAGGGUUAAUCUGUGCUGAAUUUAUCCGGCAUGCUCCGGCGAUCCGCAGAGGAACGAAAAGAAGUCGGUGGAAGUUGACGCGUUAACUUGAAUGGUUACGAUCAGCUACGAUCGGCGGAUACUGCCUUUUUUGUCGCCAUUCAGGAUGAAGGUGGAAAUUGGGGGUUAGCCUCUUUGCGCCAAUUACCUGAAUUUACUUAUUCAUUCUGACACAUCAUCAUGGGACCAUGAAUAGCUUUACAAGUAGGGUGCCAACCCCCCAACAGAUGCUGCCAAAUCUGAUAUAAUGAAGAUUUUUUAUUUUUUUUUGUAAUUGCUAACAGAGCUUUAAAAAAAUUCAAGGGUUCAUCAAAGCCAUCGAGGAUUCGUCCUCUGGGAACUACGAAUGUGAGUCCUGAAGUUCAUGACAAGUCACUCAACAGCAGAUGGAACAUUAAACCACAUAACAACACGAAGACGAGAGGAGGGAAUUCAGAAGAUGUGUCAUCGGGAUUCAUGCCUCUGGGACUGUGAAUGUUGACAUAGCUGAUACUUUCAAUUGUUCCUGAUCUGGAUCCAAUCACAGCAGAAAAACCAACAUGGUCGUCACUGGAGCGCGGCCACUUUUGUGAGCGGACAACAAAGAAACCAACAAAGUUACCGGCCAAGAAAACGCCAUGACACUACACAAACGAGGGAGUCCAUAUUUAUCCUGGGAUUAGUCCAAAACCUAACGUAAUGCUGAGCAAGCGUUUGGCUCACGCUUUAGUAGCCACACUAGAGACGUCAUCCUCCAGUGGGUCAAACGCCAAGCAUGACGGUCACCUGCUCAGGAAUGACUGAGUGUGACAUUUUCUGUAGGAAGUAUAAAUUCAGGCAUUCUUAAAAUGUUUAUGUCACAUUCAUUCAGAGCUCCACUACCACCAGUUACUGCAGUAAAGACCUCCCAACAUGCCGACUCUAUGCUGUCAGCUCUCCGCGGAUCAUGCACUCAUGGAAACUGUGAGAUACCACAGAGUGUGCAUCAGCAGCUCAACGAGCCACAUGAGUCGAGGUGUCUGCCAGGAAACAAGCGGGGAGCAAAAACUCAUGUUUGAAGCUACAGAAGAGACGUAUCCUGAUGGUACUGAGACGACCAUGUCUUACAACGGUCUACGAUUCAGUGUACUUCUCAUUUUGGGUGGACUCUUGGUUUGGUGCGCAGACGAGCCAGAAGAAUCCAAGGUAGCUUACUGUAUGAAUUCCACUUCCACCUAAAAUAACUCCCCCAGAGGACGAACAAUGAGCGCUUUGACUCCUGAGUGCGAUUAUGUGAUUGUCGGUGUCUGCUGAAGAGUCCGUUUCAUUGUCGGAGAAAAAGCUCGACUCUAGCUGGCAGUUUUAAAUGAAACCAGACCGAGAGUCGGCUGGCAGAGGAAGAGGGGGUCUCUGUUUUCUUGGGUGGCAUUCAAAGCUCUGUGAGCACUUACAGUUACCCCAGAAUAUACUGGCUGUCUGCAGACAAAACAUUGUUCUCAAACAUUUCCAAAUGGAGAGGGGAGGAAAAGAGAAUUGUAAACAGACACGCGGAGAAGAAGUCGUAAAAUAAAAGACAAGGAGCACAGGAGAAACCAAAAUACAGUGGAACAGGUAUGAAGUCAGUUUGGAAAUGUCCAGGUUAACUUGAAUGUUUGUCAGGCUGAGUCAUCUUAUUGAGAUGUGCGUUCAGAUCCUGGAAGUUAUCCAGCUAAGAUAGAGCAGUUAUGAUACGAUAGGAAAGAUUCAUCUUUUUCCUUUUCCUUUCUUCUUUUGUCAAAGUUUUGUUUACAAACCAGUUUCCUACCAACACAUUUGUGUAAUUCAACUUCUGGGACAAAUCCAGGCAUGAAAACACUAAAUCAGACGAAGAAUGCUACGUAAGGAAGGCCGGUUUAAGUCUGGUUGAACUGUCAAUGUGGAAGAAAAAAAACUGAUAUUAUAGCAUGUUGAAGGUGGGGUAGGCAGGAAUCCCCUGUGUCGUUCAUGAGCCCAAACAAAGUUAGCGUGCUACAAUAUCGGACAGUAGAAACCAACCAGAAAGUUCGGAAAAUUGUCUGAAUCCUCCUUUGGCCACGACUGCCGACACAAGCAAGAAAACAAAGUAAAUACCGGAGACUCUGGAGGAAUAACGGGCGCUUAAAACGGAGGUAGACCGGACAAGAGCUAAAAAGCCGGGUCAACAUAAACGAUGGGGGACGCUUGGGGAUCUUGGUGACCCUGUAACCUUUCUGCUGGACAGGUAAACCGCUUUAACAAAGUAAGACAAGUGUCUGUAACAGAAGUGUUUCUUGUCAAACGGACCUGCUGUAGCGUGUUGUAGCGCCAUCGCUAAACUGUCCUCCCUCGGGUCCUGGACUAUGUCACUUUAUCCUCGUUGUAGAAGUCCUGCAAACAUUGUGUUUGCUGGUAGUCUGUUGGCAUCUACAGUAGCACCAAUGCUUUUGACUUUCACCUUGACUGGGCCCCAUUUGUAAUGAUCUGAAGGAUUUAUCUGCAUUAUAUCUGAAUUUAAUUGGAACAAUACGAGCGAGCAGGAGCGGGAAAACUGGUUGGGAGGGGUAGAGUUUACAUUCAAGAUCUCUCCUAAAAACUGGAACUCAGAUCCUGACUACAACACCUUUAAUGUACUGACUGAUUAGCUUAUUGAAACAGUGUUGUAGAUUGGCAACAGUGGAGGAGACUUCUGAAGUGCUGGGUUCUAGAGUGUUCAGGGGAGAAGAUUAAAAGAGAUGGUAGCUGAAAUGAUCGAUGCAGACAGAGGCAGAAGUGAGAGUUUUCAAGGACACUAAUCUAAGAGAGGUAAUAAAGAGCUGGAAAUCCUGUUAGAAGGUCAAUAUAAAGACCAAAACAUUAGCAUAACACCCACUCCUCCAAUUAUACCUCUAGUUUAAAGAGUGUGUAGUUAUCCUGAACUUUGUGAAAGGAGUAUGAAAAGUCGUACUAUUAAAGCAGCCUCAAACAGAUUCAUGUAUUUUUAUGCUAAAGUCAAAAAUCUAGUUAUAAACAAUGAGCAUCUUUGCACAAUGACAGUAAAUGCAUGGAUUUGCUUUGGGUAAGUGUAAUUUACAAUAAGUUUAGCUCUGAGGAGGUAACGCCACUUUUGUACCACUAGAGGGAGCCAUAUUCCAGCAAAAGGCCCAUUUAAGGCAGACACGGUUUGAUUCAUUGAUUAGUGUUUGUUCCCUCAAAGAUAAAUAUAUAUCUGUACUUUUCCCCUUAGAUCAGAAGUGUGUAUUUUCUGAUCUAACAGUUCAGGAUCUGAUCGGUGUUGAAAUGUUUUACACAAUGGCUUAUGUUUUAAUUUAUUCCCCAUAAUACAUUAACCAUCUGUAACUGUUGUUUUUUUCUGCUCCUGUUCCCAUGGCUGUGAGAUGAGUCAUCUGCGUUACCUUCACGAUAUCAUCUAUUCCCACGUUGCACAUGUGCUAAUAAAUUUCCCCCCCUUCAAAAAUUAACCCUGAUGUACAAUAAAGGAGGGAGAUUUCAGGAUGAGUCACAGCCUGGAGAGAAUGGAGGGAAGACGGGGAGAGAAUAAAAGCUUCAGUAGCAUUUGGAUGAGGCAAAACAAACAGAGAAAAUGGAUAAAGGGAGGAAAAAGGGGGGAGGAGGGGUGAUGGAGAGAGCUUGCGUCGAUGAGUCAGAUUCAUUAUCUGAUGGAAAAGGGAGGGAAGGAGGGGAGGACGGGAGAGCGAGGCGAGUUCAGGAAUAGUAUAGAAGAAAUAAGGGGGAUGAGUCAGAGGAAAGGUGGAAGGACGAGGUCAGAGGAGGCCAUGAGUGGAUGGAAUAAGGAGUAAGGAGAAAGGAUGAAAAGUAGGACAUAUGAGAGGAGAAGAAGAGAUAGAAACCUGAAAUAAAAAGACAUGGUCACACUGUUAAUGGUUUGAUUUACAGAGCAUUGCCGGAGUCUCAAAAAUCUGGACUUGAAUUAAAAUUGGAAAAAAAGUGAAAAUUGAAAUUCGAUGGAUGGCGAAUAUCUCCAGUUUAACUCCCUCCUUACAAAGUGAUGAAAAAAUUAAAGGAGUCCAGUCCCAGAUGUUGUAGAGCGGAUGUGUAUCUGACCUUGAUUUGAGCUCAAGUAGAAGAAGAAGAGCAUUAUCCUUGAGGAUCUGAUCCAAGUCUCAGUGUAAGGUUUUGUAUCUGCACUUUAUGGACUGUGUUGGAACAGACACAAACUUGGCGGGACAAGUUGUUCCGAUCUCUAAAUGUGAAACAGCACUUCCCUCUACUGGCAGCUAACACACCCUCUUCCUGCCAUGUGAGUGUGUAUGUGUAUCUGUGUGUGUGUGUCUGUGUGUGUGUGUCUAUGCACAGACAUGCAAAGGGCAACUCAGACUGCUGAUAAAAGUCAAAAGUUACAGUUUAUACCUUGAGUAGAAACAGUCAUAAAACUCUGAUCACAGAGACGGUGAUAAGAUACCAGAAGAAAAGAAAGUCUGUUUGAGAAGCUCUUCUUCUACGAUAAACGUGAAGUGCCGACAGGUCGUAAAAAUACUUGUCCUGUACUCGACCUAUAAAUCUAACUUUGAAAUGUCAUCAUGCAUCUUUUUUUAGACCUAAAACAGAAGCAGGUUUUUGUUUCGAUGGACACAAAAUCAUAAAUCUGUUCUACUUUGUACUGAAAUAUGCAUUUCUGUGCUGAUGUUUUGAUUGGUGAGAGCUCUUUUGGAAGUGUUUCCUCGUCAAUACGAUCACUUCCACUACAGAGUCAUGUCUGUUUUUAAUGAUCUCAGCCAUCCUGAAUUGAUUUCCCUUUUUACACAAAGAUUUCUCCAGAUUUUCGCUGAAUUUCUAAAUGUCUCGAGCCAAUGCGGUGACCUCCACUUCAGAGACAGGGCCUUUUUUAGUGCAGUGCUGCCUCUUGUAUUUUAAAUUAUAUCAUAAACUUUUUUAGAUAAUGAAAUCUCUGAGAAGUCUGAGAAACAUCACUGUCAAACUGUUGAACUGUUGGCUCACACGGUCUCUAACAGCGUCGUGUCGUUCAUGAACGUUUCGUCCAAAAGUACAGAACUGCUGAGUGAAAGACGUGAAAUGAAUCACUCCGAUACCUGAUUCGUUUCUUUUCUCAGUUCAGUUGAGUUCAGCUGCGAGCCUGACGUGCCGGUCGGGAGUGGAACUGCCGCCUUCGACUCUUUGGCGAACGACACACAGCCAGUGAGCGAGUGGAGUCUUGGGAUUUGCUCACAGAGAAUGAACGAUAUCAGUAAGACUGUGAACGAAACGAACAACAUGAGUCAGGCAGAGGAGGGAGGGGUGUAGCGUCGUUCAUGAACUGCCGAGCAGCAGUUAGUUGACUGGUUGGUUGAAAUACGCUAUUUGAUAUCUUUAAAAGUAGCAGAAUCCCCGCUACAGCUGCCAUGUUUAAUUAUUUUUAAUCUCUCUCCUUUUUCCGCGAAAUAAAAGAACGACGACUUGCGCUCGUUUAGCGGCGUGCUGCUCGCUGCUGUGUUGUUUCCUCCGACGGCGACACACAGAGAGGUGAGUUUUUCAGGGCAGGGGAGUGAUUCUUCCUUCAGGACUUGGCGGGUGAACGACAUGUGUCACCGUGAACGACGCCGUGACUUCAGCAGCAGGGGAGGGGAGGGGCUCGUUCAAUGAACGAACUCGCCGCUGUGUCACUCACUCAUGUACGGGGCUCUGAAGCACUGACUGAUUCAGUGAACGAAUCUUUUGAACGAAUCAUUUUAAUGAACGGAUUCUAAAGAUUCAGUACAGUCAAAACAAUGGUUCUUCCUAUCACUAGUCUCUCACAGAGUUAUAAAGCUGGUUCCAUCUUUACUUCUAAGACACUCUACUGCCCUAAAAUGUCCCCAUUAAGUAUAUAUAUAUAUAUAUAUAUUCCACAAAACCCUCAAAAUUAUCAGUUUUAUUAUUUGUUGUGUCUUCGCUCUUUUUCACUUAAAUGUUAAAUUGAAAUGAUUUAGAAAGUGUCCUGACUUUUUAAAGUUGUGGUUGUUCAUUUUUGGUUAUCUAAGUCCGGAUCAGUGUCUCUGUAGGGCAGCAUCAGGCCUGAAGGUCACGGUUGAAUAGGUCUACUAUAAAAGAAAAACAGAGAUAUUAUAAUAAAUCAGCCUCCUUUUUAAGUCGACUUAAGGAAUUCAUUUGUUUCUGCAGAAGAACCCUGAGUACGUUCAGCUCGAGCUUGGUGCAGAUUAGCAGCUGACAUUUAUGAGUUUCCUUUCUUUCACACUCUGCAAUCAGAUGAAAAGGAACUAAUCCAUCAGUCUAUUUCAAAGCAAAACCAAGGUUAGGUUAGGGACAGGUGAUCUGCUGGUUGCCAGGCAACAAACAAAGAGAGAAAAAGUUAAAUCACAUCUUCGCUCAUUUAAUUAUAGGCCUCUGUGAAGCUAUGUUGCUGCACCUGAAGUUCUCGCUGUCCUCUUGAUACCUGCUCAGUCUGACUGUGUUGUAAACUGACAUAAGAUCAGUUAGUAUUAUACAGUAAAUGCUUAUUUUUAGCAUGUUAUAACAACAAUGAAUAAAAACCUUUAGUUCUAUGUGGUUUAUAAGAAUAAUACAGGAUGUUUGGACAUUAUUGUGAAUAUUUGUUUAUUUGUAUGUUUGUUUGGAACCCCAUUAGCUUCCACAAAGUGGUUGCUAGUCUUCCUUAAAAUCACAAUACAUACAGUUUCGUUUUAAAGUCCUUCUUAUUUGCUGUGUGCUCCCAAGGUAGUUGAUUCCACAUUUCCAAAGAUCUAAAUAAAACCAUUCUCCUCAUAAAAUUGGACUUGGAGAAAGGAACAGUUAAAUGACCAGAGCUGACCUGCCGAGUGACAUGUUGAUGACAGUAGCCACUGUACACCAAUUAGUCCACAAAGAAAGUUGGAUACCCUUUGAAUAUGGCAGUAUAACAAAGAAUAUUUAUAUUUAACUUGUUCUGUACCUUUAACCGCUCUAAGGUGGUGUGCAGCUCAUUCACAUUCAUUCUAUAAGACAUGUUAGUUAAUGUUAAUGUACGUUGGCCUGUAAAAGUGCUAUAGUAACGGAAACACGUCCAACUUUCAAAGUCAAGGAAGGACUUUUUAAAUCAAAUCUUUAAAUCACCAUUUAGUAUCAGUUUAUUUAAACUGGGGUCAGAUUUCGUACAGGUACCGGGAGGUCUCACCUCACCCUGUUUGGAUUCUGUAUCAUAUAACCACCAACUAACUACACAUUAUACUCAACUAUCCACAAUCACAGUGAAGAUGCUUUUAGACGUCUGUAUCAGAAGUACCUAACAUUAGAGAUGGGAAUCACUAGAGGCCCCUUGGUAGGAUAUUAUCACGAUACUUGGGCAACGAUACAAUAUAUUGCGAUUUAUACAUUUUUUUUUUUUUACUGUUUAGCUAAUUUAGCAUUUGCCUUUCCUUUAUAUUUGUCUUAUUUACUCUGUAUUUUCUUGGAGGCGCCAAAAUCAGGCAACUGGACUGUGUAGAGUUGAGAAGACGUUUCGCCUCUUAUCCAAGAAGCUUCUUUAGUUCUAGAACAGUCCAGUUGCCUGAUUUUGGAGCCUUCAAGAAAACCACGACCUGGAUGAAUGAGAAUCUACAUGGACAUACUCUGAAUCUUAUUUUCAUGUCGCACAUCUUGCAAACCUUAUAUAUUUUCAUUGUACUAACUCUCUCCUGCUCUAUAAUGUCUCCUCUGCCAACCUCACUGAACAAACAGUUGAUUUUAUUUUCCAUUAUCAUAGAUUUGACUUCAUUUAAGAAAUUAAUACGAUAUAUCACCAAACAAAAUAUCAUGAUACUAUGCUGUAUCAAAACCUAAUAUUGGUAAAUGGUUGCAUGGGCUAAAAAAAGAGACCUACUUUGAUGUAUUAUUGAUUCAUUUUUUAACAUCUUUGUUUUAUUUAUUGGACGUUUUGUGCAUCAGAGACAGAAUAACUGGGCUGUUUCCCUGUUUAAGAUUUAGUUUGUUGUUUCCACUGAUCAUUUUUAUGAUUAUUUUAAAAGAGUUCACCGAAAAUGAAAAAUGUGUGGUAUGACUGUGUAUGACAGGGCUCCUCAGUAUGGUGUAAUAUUCACUUCAGCCACAUGGUGGAGCUAUACAUCUGUAAUAUCAGGAUGGUGCUGCAUGGUGAAUAUAGAUGAACACUCAGGGAGGACAGUGUCUCAAAAAUAUACAAAAUAAAGUUUUUUUUCUUUUAUUUUUAAUUGUUUUGAAGUCAUUUUUUUAAAUUGGUUAAACUCAGUUACGGCGCACUGACCUCAGAUUUUUAUGUAUUAAAAAAUGUCAUUUGUAUUUGUUUAAUCGAGUUCUUAUCAGUGAAAAUGUGAAUGAGUUUUUGAGCGUGUGUCUCAUUAAGUAGCUUCAAGUCUGGAGCUGUAAUGACGCCCCGGUACGGCGUUUCUGGGUAACCUGGCGCGUUGAUAUUAACGGGUCACCAGAGUUCGUUCUCAAUCUCUUUGGAGCGCUGCCAUUGGUCAGACAUGCCUGCAGUUGGUGCCAGCAUACGAUUAGCCUUUAAACUGAGCCUGACUUAGUACAGUGGGCAUAAGGUGGAGCGAGAUUAGGGUUAAGUACUUUGUGAGGACUGUGUGUAGAUUGGACCGGACUGGAUUUUAACAUUUUUGAGAGGCAGAGCUGUAAAAUUAAGCUGAUUAAAAACAGGGGAGGUGGACUUCCAGUAAAUUAGCUUAAGCUCGGCUUUGAAGGCAAGGGUCAAAAGUUCCCGAUGACCGUUAAACAUUUAGAGGCUGAUGCACAACGCCUAUUGGUAAACCGACAUUUAAAACAGGUUACAACGAAUAAGAAACACACAAGAAACAGUGCAAAACAAAAAAACGGAGCAUCCAUAGCAGCAAGAAAAGUUUCCACAAAUUGUCCAAAAUGCGUGCGGCUGUGUUGCGCGUCACGCUGACGGAGGUUUAAACUAUUGAGACGUGGAACAAAGAUGAGGGGCUGACAGAGGCUCCACUGGAGAGGCUCUACAGCACUGAAUAGGAAGUUGGGUGAAUAGGAUUUGGAGGGGUGACAAAUCGAACAGGGGAUUAGGUAUGUGUGCCUGUUUGUGUGUGUGUGUGUGUGUGUGUGUGUGUGUGCGUGUGUGUGUGUGAGAGAGAGAGAGAGAGAGAGAGACACCAGCUGGCUGAGUCCUCCUCUCUUUAACUGAGGAGGCGUGUGUGUGAAUGUAUGUGUUUUUUUAAGUAUGCGCUCGCUCUGUUCGUACUGAGACAAACCCGAGUAUAAACCUGCGUUAAGAUCACGUGUUUCCCUGCACUCAUGAAUUCUUCAUUUUCCAUCUACACUCACUGACCAUCUCUCUGUGAGAAAGAAACAGUUUCAUCUAAAGUACGAUCAACCAAAGAGAUAACGUCUGAUGUGAGAGGACAAGAGUGGACACUUCAGCCUCUCCACUAAGAAACUCCUCCAGUAACAUUUGUUUAGAGUUCAAAAGACCUUUUUAGGGUGAGUUAGAGUUGAGACUGUUUAUAGAACAGACGCUCUCUACCUCCUCGCUGGAUGAAACACCACGAGAACAGCACCCUCUGGUGACGGGCUGCAGUAUAGGUCAUAAACCCCGCCUUCUCCAGCAAUCCCUAUGGAGCUGUGGACACACUUUUGAAAUUAAUUACACAGAGUUCGGCGACUCUCCCGCCGUAUGCUUACAAUGCUACUGCGCAAUGUUAGUUUCAGGAAGUGAAGAAAAAACCUGGAAAUGCCGAGAGCUUUUUGGCUUUAAAUGCGUAUACUGGCGGAAGGCGGAGCCAAGUUGUCCAUAAUAUAUACAGUCUAUGAUAAAAACCAAGUGACUACGUUCGGUUGGCAGUGCAGCUAGUAUUACCCUUAUUUUGUUGAGUUAGCGUCACUAUUGAUGGAAAUGUUUAUAUUCAUGGUAGAACAUCCAAAGGGCCUGACAGUAAACCCAUUUUCAUAUGACAGUAAUAAAGUUAAAUAUCAAACUUACUUUUCCAUGUAUUAAAGUACUGUAGGGACGUUUGUGAGGUCUAACAGGAAUAUUACAUCACCCUGAAACCCUUAAAACCAUCCCUGUAGGAUUUUUUCUUCAAACCUUGAACAAACAAAAAGAAAGAGUAAGCAAACACUUCCUGCUUUCCAAACUUUCAAAUUGAGGAAUGGUGCAAUUACAGAGACUGAUAGUGCUUGAUUUUUGUUUUUGCUGACUGCACACCUUGACGGUGCAUUAAUUCACAGUUUAUCAUCCAUAUAGAGUUUUUUUUUGUUUUUCCGCUUGAAUCACCAUUAGUCAUAUUUUAUGACUCACUGCGGUUAUAUAAGCUUCUUUGUCGGUGCUUCUAAAGCUGCUAUAGUGGCUGUUGUUCCCAGAAGAUGCUUAAAAAAGUAAAGAGUGGGAUGCUCUCAUGGUUGCAGGCUAUAUGGAACAUGCGUGAUGUUUAGGCUCUGGUGCCAGAAGACGUGGGCGAGUGUGAGCAAAGAGAACUUUCUGUUUCUACAAAUAGAUUAGCACACUUUCAAUCACUCCAGGAUUUGAAUAAAGGCAAACACUGCUGCUGCGGUGUCAGACCCUGUUGAAAAGCAGAAUUUAUGGCAUCGUUUUUAUAAGCUGCAAUUUCUUAAAGCAGAUACUGUGAAUGUGAAUUGAGCGGCUUUUGCUCCACUAAUGCAUUCGAAUCAACAAGCCAAUUAUCGCCAGUGUAAUUAUCUUCAACAGGCUCAGUGUAAAGACUCAGUUUGUCAUUGAUUGACCAUUGACUGGCAGGAUUCGUCCUUGUGGCAAAUUGCUUUUUAAAAAUUCCUCUUUUCCCUCCUUGCAUUGAUUUUCAAGGGACAAUGGGGAAGUCAAUAACAAUUCAGAGGUUUUACAACCACUGAUUUAAAGUGAGAAUGAGGCACAUAAAGAAGCGUUUCAGAAGUGUUACGAGCCGUAAUACUGCAAGGUCAGGUUUUGUCAGAGAAAAUGAGCUUGGAGAACCGCCUGAAGGUCCUGAAUGCUGGACCUAUCUCAAGAAUAUGGAUAUUUGCAUGUGGAGACACAAAGCAGGCUGGUAUUAUCUGGGCCGUUUGCUAAACCCUAUCUGAAAGAGCUCGUCCAAUCAUUGACUACACGCUCGUAUCUUGGCACAUUAAACCUGACGGGUGUUUUCUCCAUGCAUACAUGCACAGAGCAGAAUGAGAGGCAUGAUUACCAAUGAGAGAAACCGGGAAAUACCGUAAAAAUGCCACAAAAACAACCAUCUAGGUCAGUCGAUACCGUGGGAAAACAAAUCAGGGAAGAGUGAAGGUAGACGCAGCUAAUUUUGCCGUCUAAAAGGCUCUGAAACAGCAUCUUAAACAAACUUGCAAAUGCAUCAGUCUGACUGAAAUCACACUAGAUCCAAUAUCUUAUAAUCGAACAGACAUACUUAAACAAUGUGGUUAGGUUUAAUUUUCUCUUCUAUGUGGACCAAUCAGUUCUGAGUCUGCUCGGUUUUUAGGAAGGAAGUCAGAUAGUAAACAAAACCUCAAAUGACAAAAAACGAAGACUAAAAAAGACCAAACUUUCCUAAAGUACAAAGAAAACAGAGCAGUAGAAGUGAGCAUGAAAGACUCAUUCUUGUCUGGUGUUUGUAAACUGGGAUCAGGAUAGUAGUCCAAUCACCUCGCCUGCUCUGUAGGCUGUACCCACACCUUGACUUAACUGCAUGUAAACAUUACAAAAGUCAGUCGAUAAGAGGACGUCUGGCUGAAACUGUCUCCUGGUACCUCCUGGUAGGGUAGUUCAGCUCAGCCGUUGUCAGCUUUGAUAGUUAUAGGAUGCAGACUUUACACUUGUGAUCACUUUGCACCAUUGCCCUCUGAUGAUUGCUUUAAAUAGGGUGAUCAUAUUCUGAAUCCCCAAAAAGAGGAGACAGCUACCCGGGGGCAGAGUCACGGAGUCAUGCGUAGUUAAUUUUUAGAGUUUUUCGGGUCGGAUGAAGUUUUUUUUACACGCUUCCAACUCAGUUAGUUCACGCUACACAAACUCAAAACUUCAUACAAAUCCGCAGACACUUGAAGGAUUUUAUAAACUCCCCCGGACAAGGCCGAAGAGCCCCCCAAAAAGAGGACAUGUCUGGGUAAAGAGGAUGUAUGGUCAUCCUACUUUAAAAGGGUUUUUACUUAAUAAUGUGCUUCAGAUUUCUCCAGAUGCACAAUUUUAACUCUUACAUACCAAAUCUCAAGAUAGUUUGAAUUCAGAGUAAGAAAUCUGCAGCUGUUAUAGAGAGUUAGACUGUUAAAAUAAUAUAUGAAAGGCUGAAAAUGUAAAAUAAGGCUCAGCGAAUGGUUGAUUUGGAUUUAGUCACAUGGGGGUGUUUAUAGAAAUUAAACCCUGAUGAUCAUCAUGGAUCCACUUCCAGAUACCAGAGAGAAGGAGGAAGGUAGUGACUACUAUGUAUGUAUGUAUGCACACACACCCAUACACCCCCGCCGCCCUCCCCCUUGAAUCGCCCGUGGCCUGGCCUUAAGAGGAGUUCUGUUGCUGGGUAAUGAAGAGGAGGGAGGCUGCGAGGCAGGUGCUGCUGCCGGGGAACAGUGGACCACUUGUGGCUCCGUUGAGUGUCUCUCCACACUCACCCAUCUCCUCUCUACCCCUCAGCCCCCCCCCGCCAACCCUUCAACUUCACUUCAUCUCACACUGUCUCACCCCCAUCGUCAUCACGAGCAGGUGUGAGUGUGAUCCCCCUGCCUCCUGCCCGUCAACCUCCCCCGCUCCUCGCCGCAGCCGCCGUUUUCUCUUUUUUUAACCACUACCUACAGAGUCAAUUUAUGGCUGAACACGUCUGCGCUCUGAUUGGUUCAUUUACAUACGGAGCAUUGAGCACACAGUCUAAUCAGAGUCUGAUUUAAAUUCCUGGAGUGAGGAAGGGGUGUAACCUACGUGUGACUCAGCCUCCGUUAUGUUUAUUCUACUGGCUGCAUUUUUGUACCUCGACUGCAGACAAAAAAACUGCAAAAAAAUCAAACAAAAAUGUGGCAAAACAUCAUCGUUUUUGUCCUGGAAAUAUAAAAGUGCAAGUAGAGGACUGGGGAAAAGUUCGGCGUCACAUAGAGCUCCUAAAAACGGCGUCUGGCUGCAGUUACGGCCACUCCUUUAAUGUGUCGCUGAUGUGAACAAAAUGUGCUCCACAGAUGAGUCUCAUGACAGUCCUCUCAAGGGUAAUGGGCUCUGAAUGAGGUGACGAACUAUUAAGAAGUGAUCAAACUCCCAUUUAGGACAUCAGUACAGCUCAUUUUCCCGUGCUUUGUCUCCGCACAGAUGGAUGGCCGUGCCAAAACAAAACACGUGUAAACCUCCGAUUUCCAGGAGAUGAAACCUGCUCUCUCUGUGUGUGUUUACUUUGACAUCAAAUAUGAACAAAUCAAUAGGACAUUAACUUUAUAAAUCACGGUUCUGUUGAUCCGAAUGAACCCAAAUAUAUCCGCCAGCUUUUAUUUAAUCAGUGUAAACACAGACUGGUGAACUAUCCACCGAUGACACCGAGUCUAAUUAUUCAUAAAUAAUAAAAUGUUAAGGGAGGACUUUUGACAUUUUCCGAAAAUGUCAAACAAUUCAUUUCAACAAUUGAGGUUUAUUGUUUUAGUUUGCAUAUUAAGUCUCUGCAGUCAACCUUGAAACUGAUGAGCUGCGUGUGUUUAUGAAGCAUCUACCUGGUUCAGCUGUCCUUCAUCACCACUGAAUGUCACUGAAGAUUGUUUUUCAUGAGCUGAUAAUAAAAACACAGAAGUGAAAUAUGAACUGAAGGAGUUUUAAUAGUAAUGUGGACUCAUCUAUUGUAAGUCUAGACACUUCAGUCAAAGCAGUUAUCAACAAGUUGUUAAAUGAAAAGUUUUAAACAAUUUUGUUUAAUUUUGGUCAAAGUGGGAAAUUUUUGAGUAAUUUUUUUAGCUUAAAAAAAGACGUUAAAGGUGGUGUAGUCAGGAUCUGAGGAAGUUCCAGUUUUUGGGAGAAAUCUUGAAUGUAAACUCUACCCCUCCAACCAGUUUUCCCCUCAGCUCCUCCUCUCCCCUCAAGCCCCGCCCACAAACAGACGCUCCUGCUCGCUCGUAUCGUUCUGAUUAAAUUCAGAUAUAAUGCAGAUAAAUACUUCAGAUCAUUACAAAUGGGGCCCAGUCAAGGUGAAAGUCAAAAGCAUUGGUGCUACUGUAGAUGCCAACAGACUACCAGCAAACACAAUGUUUGCAGGACUUCUACAACGAGGAUAAAGUGACAUAGUCCAGGACCCGAGGGAGGACAGUUUAGCGAUGGCGCUACAACACGCUACAGCAGGUCCGUUUGACAAGAAACACUUCUGUUACAGACACUUGUCUUACUUUGUUAAAGCGGUUUACCUGUCCAGCAGAAAGGUUACAGGGUCACCAAGAUCCCCAAGCGUCCCCCAUCGUUUAUGUUGACCCGGCUUUUUAGCUCUUGUCCGGUCUACAGAGAAGUUACCAACUUUUCCUCAGUCCAUCCUGUCUUUAGCAAGUUUAUAUUUGGUUUUCUCAUGCGGUGAUAUCCACCUUAGAGUCACUAUAGAUUACAGCCACCCAGUAUUGGUUUCUGACCUUGUCCGUUUUGCACAGAUUUCUCUAGAUUCUUCAAAUCUUUCGUAAAAUCAUGAACUAAAGUUGAUGAAAGAUUCAAACUACUUUUAAUUUUACAUCGAGGAAACUUUGAACUUUGAAACUGUUGAAUUAUUUGCUCACACGGUCUCUCACAGAGUGGUGACCCUCCUCUCGUUUGAGGGUGACCAUCUUCUGAAUCCCCAAAAAGAGGACACGACCACACGGGGGCGGAGUCACGGAGUCAUACGAGGUUAAUUUUGAAAGUUUUUCGGGUCAGAUCGAGUCUGGUCACAAACUCGAAUGUUGCGUACAAAACCCCGGACAUUUGACUGAUUUCAUAAACUCCCUCAGGUAAAAGAGGACGUAUGGUCACCCGACCUUCGCUGCUUUGUUUACGGUGAAAUAAUUAUUGGGGACAUUGGGUUUUAUCUAGAACAGGUAAUAAAAGAAGAACUAUACCACCUCCGUGUCUGAAACUUUAUGAUUACGGCCAUCUUGCACUCAACACAUUCCUGUUUCAUCAGCCUUCACAGUUAAAUCCCUUCCUCUCCAUGUUCCAGCCAUGUUUUUUUCUCAUGGCCGACUCUCACUCUUCUCUAAUUUGAAGGUCGUUUUCCAUUGUGGAGAAAUCACCAGUGUGAGCGCCACAGAGGAAGCUGCUUCAAACAGCCAGCACCACGGCGCCCGGAUCGUGCACAGCCAGGGAUCAUAUGCCCUCUCAUCUCCAGCGACCAGGCGCAAUCUAUUUCUCAUUCUCUUCUCAUUGUUGACACACUGUCAUUGCAGAGCCGGGCUGCCUAGCAACAGAAUCCUGGCAGACGUUUUUCCAAUCUUCUGUCAGGCGGGGAAGCUCCGCCCCUCUCUGUCCCUGGAGGAAUGAUGGAAAGGUCACUUCACUCCUCGCCGUGUCUGACAGCACACAGAUUGUCUUUUCUGAAAACUCUGAGGAGUGUGUGAGUGUGUGUGUGUGUUUGUGCAUGUGUGUUGGAGGUCUGAGAGGUGG